GGAUAUAGCUCAGUGAUAAAGUGCUUGCCUGGCAUGCAGGAGGCCCUGGGUUCAAAUCCCAGAAACACA
Molecule: transfer RNA, 69 nt
Filed under: Marmota monax (woodchuck)
Lineage: Eukaryota; Metazoa; Chordata; Mammalia; Rodentia; Sciuridae
Description: tRNA.Ala
Rfam family: tRNA (bases 6-62)
About the family: Transfer RNA (tRNA) molecules are approximately 80 nucleotides in length. Their secondary structure includes four short double-helical elements and three loops (D, anti-codon, and T loops).
Source: RNAcentral